RNAcentral lists this ribosomal RNA (2889 nucleotides) under groundwater metagenome. RNAcentral describes it as "bacterial LSU rRNA". It matches the Rfam family "Bacterial large subunit ribosomal RNA", at positions 3 to 2011 of the family's 2925-position model. The record is from RNAcentral.
CCAAGCUAUGAAAGGCCAACGGUGGAUGCCUUGGCGCCAGAUGCCGAUGAAGGACGUGGGUGGCUGCGAAAAGCCACGGGGAGCUGCCGACCAAGCUUCGAUCCGUGGAUCUCCGAAUGGGGAAACCCGGCUGGGGUCAUGCCCAGUCACCCCGGCCUGAACACAUAGGGCCGGUGGAGGGAACCGGGGGAAUUGAAACAUCUCAGUACCCCGAGGAAGAGAAAGCAACAGCGACUCCCUGAGUAGCGGCGAGCGAAACGGGAUGAGCCUAAACCGUCGUAGUGGUACAGCCUGCCGGCGAUGCUGCGACGGGGUCGUGGGACCCACCUGGGGCAGCGGCAGACGCCCCGAGGAGUUACAAAAUCGAUGGCUAGCAGAAUCACUCUGGAAAGGUGAGCCGCAGAGGGUAAGAGCCCCGUACGCGAAAGUCAUCGAUCUCCUGGUGGUGUUCCCGAGUAGCACGGGAUCCGGGAAAGCCCGUGUGAAUCUGCGAGGACCACCUCGUAAGGCUAAGCACAAGCUGGCGACCGAUAGCGCACGAGUACCGUGAGGGAAGGGUGAAAAGUACCCCGGGAGGGGAGUGAAAUAGUACCUGAAACCGUUGGCCUACAAGCAGUCAGAGCGUCGUCGUCGAGUUUCGGCUCGGCGGCCGUGAUGGCGUGCCUUUUGAAGAAUGAGCCGGCGAGUUACCGUCUGUGGCAAGGUUAACCCGAGAGGGGGAGCCGGAGCGAAAGCGAGUCUGAACAGGGCGUUCAGUCGCGGGCGGUAGACCCGAAGCCGAGUGAUCUAUCCAUGGGCAGGCUGAAGCGAGGGUAAGACCUCGUGGAGGGCCGAACCCACCAAGGUUGAAAACUUGGGGGAUGACCUGUGGUUAGGGGUGAAAGGCCAAGCAAACUCGGUGAUAGCUGGUUCUCCCCGAAAUGCAUUUAGGUGCAGCGUCGUGCGUUCAGUUCCGGAGGUAGAGCACUGGAUGGUCUAGGGGGCCUACAAGCUUACCGAAAUCAACCAAACUCCGAAUGCCGGUACUCCAGAGCACGGCAGUGAGACCAUGGGGGAUAAGCUUCAUGGUCGAGAGGGAAACAGCCCAGAACGCCAGCUAAGGCCCCAAAUUCUGUGCUCAGUGGCAAAGGAUGUGGGAUUGCCCAGACAGCCAGGAGGUUGGCUCAGAAGCAGCCAUCCUUGAAAGAGUGCGUAACAGCUCACUGGUCGAGUGAUCCUGCGCCGAUAAUGUAACGGGGCUCAAGCACAGAGCCGAAGCUGCGUCAUCGUGCGUUUCGGCGCACGUUGGGUAGGGGAGCGUCGAUCUCUGCGGUGAAGCGGCUGCGCGAGCAGACGUGGAGCGUGGUCGAGUGCGAAUGCCGGUAUGAGUAGCGAAAGAGGGGGGAGGAACCCCUCCGCCGAAUGCCCAAGGGUUCCUGGGGAAGGCUCAUCCGCCCAGGGUUAGUCGGGAGCUAAGGCGAGGCCGAAAGGCGUAGUCGAUGCACAACAGGUUGAUAUUCCUGUACCACCGUGUCCGCGCCCAAUCCAAUGGGAAUCGAUCAGGGGCUGAUCUACGGAUCGAGCCUGUCCCGGUUCCCUGACGGGUAGCGAAGGGGGGACGCAGGAGGGUAGGUCAUCCCGGGCGCUGGUUGUCCCGGGGUAAGCGGGUAGAGGGUCCGAUAGGCAAAUCCGUCGGGCGCAACCUCGAGACGCGAUGCCGAGCCGUUUCAGGCGAAGUGACCGGUCCCACGCUGCCGAGAAAAGCCUCUAGUGAGCUGGCACGGUGCCCGUACCCCAAACCGACGCAGGUGGGCACGUAGAGAAUACGAAGGCGAUCGGGAGAACUCUGGUUAAGGAACUCGGCAAAUUGCCCCCGUAACUUAGGAAGAAGGGGGGCCUCCGUAGGGUGAAGGGCUUCGCGCCCGGAGUCUGAAGAGGCCGCAGAGACCAGGGCCAAGCGACUGUUUACUAAAAACACAGGAGCGUGCGAAGUCGCAAGACGAUGUAUACGCUCUGACGCCUGCCCGGUGCCGGAAGGUUACGGGGAAGGGUUAGCCGCAAGGCGAAGCUCUGAACCUAAGCCCCGGUAAACGGCGGCCGUAAAACCGUUGCGGCUCUCGUGGGGUGACCCGCGAGAACAAACUCUGCUAUAUGCUGGAAACCCCGUGUAUCCGGCGGUACUCGCCCAUGCCUGUCACACCCUCUCCGUACGGUGUGUGCGUGGGCAGUGACAAUCCGUCCGGUGCGGACAAUCAGCAGGAAAGGCCCAGUUCCUCAGCCUGGCUGGAUGCAAUCCCGCACGACCUCGGUCAUUACAUCGCGGGAUUCGUCGACGGAGAGGGAAGCUUCAACGUCCCGAUCCGUCGUGAGCGUGAUCGCGGAUUGCCGUUCCGCGUCUCGGUGUCGUUCAACGUCUCGCAGAUCGGUCCGGAAGCCCCAGAGCUUCUGCGGCGGAUCUUCGGGGUGGGGACGGUGCGAGGCCGCGGUGACGGGGUCUUCUACUUCGAGGUGACCAAGCCGGCCGACCUCGUCGAGCGGGUCUUCCCGUUCUUCGAUCGGUUCGAGCUUCGUGGCCCGAAGGCGGGCGACCUCGCGGUGCUCCGCCAGAUCACCGAGCUCGUCCGGUCAGGACGUCACCUCACAUCGCAGGGAAUCGGCGCGAUCCUCGCACUGCGGGGACCGAUGAACCGCGGUGGCAAGCGGCGACGCAGCGAUGACGAGAUCAUCGCCGCGUUGAGGGAUUGGGAAUCCUCAGAGGCCAUACGCAGAGCUCCCUCGUUGAAGCCGAGGGAUGAAGAUAUGGUCCACGCCUCAUAGCGAUAUGGGGAGACCCGUGAACUAUAACGGUCCUAAGGUAGCGAAAUUCCUUGUCGGGUAAGUUCCGACCUGCACGAAUGGCGUAACGACUUG